CGCUGGCGGCAGGCUUAACACAUGCAAGUCGAGCGGUAGCACAAGAGAGCUUGCUCUCUGGGUGACGAGCGGCGGACGGGUGAGUAAUGUCUGGGAAACUGCCUGAUGGAGGGGGANAACUACUGGAAACGGUAGCUAAUACCGCAUAACGUCGCAAGACCAAAGAGGGGGACCUUCGGGCCUCUUGCCAUCAGAUGUGCCCAGAUGGGAUUAGCUAGUAGGUGGGGUAAUGGCUCACCUAGGCGACGAUCCCUAGCUGGUCUGAGAGGAUGACCAGCCACACUGGAACUGAGACACGGUCCAGACUCCUACGGGAGGCAGCAGUGGGGAAUAUUGCACAAUGGGCGCAAGCCUGAUGCACCAUGCCCGUGUGUGAAAAAAGCCUUCGGUUGUAAAGCACUUUU
This 404-nucleotide ribosomal RNA is filed under the name uncultured Serratia sp. Its description in RNAcentral is "bacterial SSU rRNA". It matches the Rfam family "Bacterial small subunit ribosomal RNA", at positions 34 to 437 of the family's 1533-position model. Lineage: Bacteria; Pseudomonadati; Pseudomonadota; Gammaproteobacteria; Enterobacterales; Yersiniaceae. The record is from RNAcentral.